AUCUGAAUAGCUCAGUGGUAAGAGCAGUCGUCCGGCAAGCGAAAAACUCGGGUUCGUUUCUCGAUUCAGCGA
Lasius niger is the source of this 72-nucleotide transfer RNA. It matches the Rfam family "tRNA". From Rfam's summary of the family: Transfer RNA (tRNA) molecules are approximately 80 nucleotides in length. Their secondary structure includes four short double-helical elements and three loops (D, anti-codon, and T loops). The record is from Rfam. Lineage: Eukaryota; Metazoa; Arthropoda; Insecta; Hymenoptera; Formicidae.